AAUCUUCCACAAUGGGCGAAAGCCUGAUGGAGCAACGCCGCGUGAGUGAAGAAGGAUUUCGGUUCGUAAAACUCUGUUGUAAGGGAAGAACAAGUACAGUAGUAACUGGCUGUACCUUGACGGUCCCGUAUUAGAAAGCCACGGCUAACUACGUUCCAGCAGCCGCGGUAAUACGUAAGUGGCACGCGUUGUCCGGAAUUAUUGGGCUGAAAACGCGCGCAGGUGGGUUCUUAAGUAUGAGGUGAAAGCCCACGGCUCAACCGUGGAGGGUCAUUGGAAACUGGGAGACUUGAGUGCAGAAGAGGAUAGUGGAAUUCCAAGUGUAGCGGUGAAAUGCGUAGAGAUUUGGAGGAACACCAGUGGCGAAGGCGACUAUCUGGUCUGUAACUGACACUGAGGCGCGAAAGCGUGGGGAGCAAACA
This 422-nucleotide ribosomal RNA is filed under the name uncultured bacterium. RNAcentral's name for it is "partial 16S ribosomal RNA". It matches the Rfam family "Bacterial small subunit ribosomal RNA", at positions 360 to 774 of the family's 1533-position model. The record is from RNAcentral.